GACGAACCGAGCGAACGUUGUUCGGAAUCACUGGGCUUAAAGGGCGCGUAGGCGGGCUGACAAGUCUGGGGUGAAAUGCCACGGCUCAACCGUGGAACUGCCUCAGAUACUGGCGGUCUUGAGCCAGCUAGGGGCUACCGGAACAAAUGGUGGAGCGGUGAAAUGCGUAGAUAUCAUUUGGAACGCCAAUGGUGAAAACAGGUAGCUGGGGCUGUGCUGACACUGAGACACGAAAGCCAGGGGAGCAAACGGG
Molecule: ribosomal RNA, 253 nt
Filed under: uncultured bacterium
Lineage: Bacteria
Description: partial 16S ribosomal RNA
Rfam family: Bacterial small subunit ribosomal RNA
Source: RNAcentral